CAGCCGCCGCGGUAAUACGUAGGUGGCAAGCGUUGUCCGGAAUUAUUGGGCGUAAAGGGCUCGCAGGCGGUUUCUUAAGUCUGAUGUGAAAGCCCCCGGCUCAACCGGGGAGGGUCAUUGGAAACUGGGAAACUUGAGUGCAGAAGAGGAGAGUGGAAUUCCACGUGUAGCGGUGAAAUGCGUAGAGAUGUGGAGGAACACCAGUAACGAAGGCGACUCUCUGGUCUGUAACUGACGCUGAGGUGCGAAAGCGUGGGGAGCAAACAGGAUUAGAUACCCGGGUAGUCCCUGUCUCUUAUAC
RNAcentral lists this ribosomal RNA (301 nucleotides) under uncultured bacterium. RNAcentral's name for it is "partial 16S ribosomal RNA". It matches the Rfam family "Bacterial small subunit ribosomal RNA", at positions 509 to 807 of the family's 1533-position model. The record is from RNAcentral.